AAUUACUUAAUAGAGAAGUUUCUCUGAUUGCAUAGAGAACCAGAAACCACCAGGAGGAGGUGCAGUGUAAACAGACCCUUGGUGUUGCUUUGUUGCAACUGCCAUUUGCCGUUGAUAAUUAUUGCUCUCUUCCUCUUAGGGAGAGUAAGAAGGAAAGAAUGCCAAGUGGG
This 170-nucleotide small nucleolar RNA is filed under the name Sciurus vulgaris (Eurasian red squirrel). RNAcentral describes it as "Small nucleolar RNA U3 (ENSSVLG00005014118.1)". It matches the Rfam family "Small nucleolar RNA U3". From Rfam's summary of the family: Small nucleolar RNAs (snoRNAs) are involved in the processing and modification of rRNA in the nucleolus. Lineage: Eukaryota; Metazoa; Chordata; Mammalia; Rodentia; Sciuridae. The record is from Rfam by way of RNAcentral.